Molecule: ribosomal RNA, 367 nt
Filed under: uncultured organism
Description: bacterial LSU rRNA
Rfam family: Bacterial large subunit ribosomal RNA
Source: RNAcentral
CUUUACUGCAACUUGACAGUGAAGUUCGGGACAAUCUGCGUAGGAUAGGUGGGAGGCUUUGAAGCCGGGAUUCUGGUCUCGGUGGAGCCACCGUUGAAAUACCACCCUGAUUGUUCUGGACUUCUAACCUAGGCCCGUGAUCCGGGUCGGGGACACUGUCUGGUGGGCAGUUUGACUGGGGCGGUCGCCUCCUAAAAAGUAACGGAGGCGCACGAAGGUUCCCUCAGGCUGAUUGGAAACCAGCCGGCGAGUGUAAAGGCACAAGGGAGCUUGACUGUGAGAUCGACAGAUCGAACAGGUGCGAAAGCAGGUCUUAGUGAUCCGGUGGCACAGUGUGGAAUGGCCAUCGCUCAACGGACAAAAGGUA